GCUCUGGUGGUCUAAGUGGUUAGAGCAUCCACCUUGAACAUGGGAGGCCAUGGGUUCAAGCCCCCAGCAGAGGA
This is a non-coding RNA of Potamilus streckersoni, 74 nucleotides long. NCBI's taxonomy places the organism in Eukaryota, Metazoa, Mollusca, Bivalvia, Unionida, Unionidae. The record is from the annotation of a GenBank genome assembly.